Molecule: non-coding RNA, 69 nt
Organism: Desmophyllum pertusum
Lineage: Eukaryota; Metazoa; Cnidaria; Anthozoa; Scleractinia; Caryophylliidae
Source: the annotation of a GenBank genome assembly
UCUCCUGUAGCUGGCAGAGUGUCUGACUGGUGUUUCAGAAGGUCACAGGUUCGACUCCUGCUGGGAGAA